RNAcentral lists this signal recognition particle RNA (265 nucleotides) under Clostridium grantii DSM 8605. RNAcentral's name for it is "Bacterial large signal recognition particle RNA". It matches the Rfam family "Bacterial large signal recognition particle RNA". Rfam says of the family: The signal recognition particle (SRP) is a universally conserved ribonucleoprotein involved in the co-translational targeting of proteins to membranes. Archaeal SRP consists of a 7S RNA and homologues of the eukaryotic SRP19 and SRP54 proteins. In most bacteria, the SRP consists of a 4.5S RNA and the Ffh protein (a homologue of the eukaryotic SRP54 protein). The record is from Rfam by way of RNAcentral. Lineage: Bacteria; Bacillati; Bacillota; Clostridia; Eubacteriales; Clostridiaceae.
UCGUGCUAGACGGGAAGUUAGCGGUGUCCUGUAACCUGCAAUCCGCUGUAGCAGGGUUGAAUUCCAGGCUUAGGCUUUAAUUAGUGUGGCCUGCCUUAUGUAAGUGGUGUUGAGAGCUGGGCCUUACGCAACGGAAGCUCAUGAACCUCGUCAGAUCCGGAAGGAAGCAGCGAUAAGUGAGAUUUUCCGUGUGCCGUGAGUCUACCUAGCUUGAGCCAACUGCAUAAGUAACGCACAUUGAUUACUGUCAAAGCUUGGUGCACGA